CAAGGAGGCAGACUGCUCUGGUUAACGAAAAAAUCAAGAAAGAACAGAGAAGAAUGCUGCUUCUUCCAAAGAGGGAGGUAGGGAAAAAGAAGCUGUUUCCAUUUCCAAACUCAUUAGUUGGGUAAGUCAUUACACUUCUGGGGAGGAGUUAUUGGGGAGGGUAGGAAAAGACAUAUUUGGUUAUCUCCAAGUAGAAACUGAAUGUUUCUUCUUCAGAGAAGAUCCUAGAGUACAAGUCUAGAUAGAAAAAGAAAAACUUUUCCUGUCUGCCUAAGUUCAGCCUUCUGUGGUGAAGUUGGUUUUCCUACUGUGACCUGUGCACUCCGGUCUACCAGCCUGACACUACACGCCAUCUGCUGGUUCCAAACUAUAUAGCUCCAGAGUAACUGCUGACGCUGUUGGGGAACAGAGGACCUGGCCUCCUGAAGAAGCACCAACAGGCCCUCUGCUUCAAGUUGUAGGUGUGAACAAAUCCAGACCACUAAGAGGCCCUCCAGUCCUCCUUGAAUUUGGGUAUGGAUCCUAAGAUUUGCUCCAGUACCUCUGCAGCCAGCACCCAGAGCAGCUAAUGAAAGGAUUCAAGCCGGACGUUCAGGGAUAAGGAGAGACGGCUACAAUGAUACUUCAAAUUGGAGUUAUCCAAAGGCUCAAUGGACUGGAUUCCAAGAUGAUGCCCUCACCUGGCUACGACUGACACAGGAUGUUGUUUAGGAGCUCAGCUGGGGACUGUCAGCUGGGGUAGCUAUCUGUGAUGUCUUCUUGUGUCUAAGCUUUUCAUAGUUUAGUGGCUGGGUCCCUAUGCAAAGUAUCACAAGAGCAAGUGGGAAGUAUCUUUGAAGAUGCAGGAAGUGGAAGCUGCCAGUCCUUUUAAAGACUAGGAACCGUAAUUGAUUUGUGUCACUUCUGCUAUAUUCUGUUGGCAAAGGCAAUCACAGGUCAGCCCAAAUUUUAGCAGAUGGAGGAUAUAGGCUUCACUUGUAUAAGGUAUGAUGUGGUAAUUCAAUAUGUAUGCUGCAUGUAGUGAUCAAAUCAGGGCAAUUAACAUUUCUUUCUCCACAAACAUUUAUUACUUUGCUGUGUUGAGAACCCUUGCACUUCACUCUUCUAUUCUGUAUAAAAUAUAUGGUGAAUUAUUGUGCACUAUACAGAUUUCACUUCUUAGUGGAGGAAUAAGUACAGCAUGGAAGGAGGGAAGGAAAUGAUGGCAGCCUUCUUGGAGAAAGUUACCACAUGAUAUGUCCCCAGACAAAUGUGUAGGUUCAGUGAAGCUCCCACAGGAUGGACUCAGGUUGACUGCCAAUCAAAGAGUUAUGGAGAAAAUAAACCCAUUUGCAAAAAAUAAAAUCAAAUCUUCACUCUCCCCGCUCUCUACCCCAGUAGUGUUCCGCACUCACCAAACACACACCUGGAGGCAGAAUGAGAUGGCUCAGAACUCUAACAAAGCAGCUGGUGGAACUGAGCUGUGGGGUAAGGGCUUAUGUCACUAUUUUAUCCUUUGACUAUUCCCUCAUGCUGGUGUGGCCUAGAAAAUUACCUGUUACAUACAAGUAAAAAUUCAGACUCAGAGGACUAAGAUUUACCAUCAUCAAGACAAUUCAAAAGAGUAUGCUGUAGGUUUGAAGACAAUUUCCAGAGAGACACACAUUCUCAGAAUGUUUCCAGUAAUGACAAAAUCAUUGGAAUAAGCGGCUGACCUCCUCCCUGGGGGACUAUGCUCAUUAAGAUGUAUGUGUUCAGGACUGUUAAAAUUCCAGCUCAUUAUCUAAUAGUUGUACCUUGUGCACUUGGAUACCUCUGAAAAUGCUUCCAGCCCUUCCAUUUCAGUCAUAACAACCAACUGACAGUCUCCUAUACUUUUGAGAGGCUUUAAGGGAAGGUUCUUAUAGCAAAGUUAAAAGUGAAAAGGAAAAACUCAAAAGGAAGUACCACUAUUGAUAACCCUGUCUAUUCAUUUCCCUUGAAGUAAUUUAAGACCAUGAGGAAAGAAUUCUUCCUAGCUUUAGGGUCAGUGCUCAAGUCUUCAUUCAUUCUUUUCUCUCUUUAAUUUGCACAUUCCAGCAGGGAAACUGUAUUCCAAUCUCAAGAACAAUUCCAGAGCCCAAGCCAACUGUGCUGUGGAAGCAAUGUGAAUCAAUAUUCAUUGAUCACUAGCAUUUGUUCUUUGGCCUCUAAUUCAAAUGUCCUUUCCACUAGAAGCCUCCUCUAAACUUUCUUUUCCUGUGGUAGAAUCUAAUCAUUCCCACCACCAUAUUCCCUUUCGGUAAAGCAUUUGACUCUGCAUUUAAUUCUUUUUUCUCCCUUUUUAAUUUAUAACUAAAUUAUGAGCAGCUUGAGAUCAAUUAUCAGUUACAUUCAUGCUUAGGUCUCCAGUACCAAGCACAAAGUCUGGCAUCUGAGGGAGUACUCAAUCAAUGUUUGUUCAAUGAAUAAAUGUGGUAAGAGGUCUUCCAGAAGUAUGCCAAUAGGGUGCACUGGAGAGCCAACGAGUUCAGUUUAAUUAUAUCUAAAAUAAGAGAUAUGUCUCUAAGGAAGUAGCUUCACAAAUAUGAGAGGAUAAAAUACACAUGCAAAUAAAAUCUGGACAUUAAAGAAUAUGGUACAGAGAAGGCACUCUAUUUUAUGAGAUUUGAGUGAGUUACAAAACCAGCUCAGGAUCUAAGGAGCAGAGGGAUCUUUUGUUUAUCCACUCAAGUCUAAAAAUCUAAUGUACAUGUGACAAAAUUAAUAUUGUAUCAUUGUAUUAGUGAUUUUUAUUAUAAAAAUAAAUUGUAGCUACUCUCACAAAAAGUGAACAUAUGAGAUGUCAGAUAUGUUGGUCUACUUUACUAUGGUAGACAUUUUACUAUCUAUAUAUAUUUCCUAACAUCAUAUUGUAAACUUCAAAUACACACAGUGAAAUUUAUUUAAAAACUCAUUUGCUGAUCACCUUCUACAAAUUAUAUACUCCUAAUUCUCAUUUAAGAACUUUCAUGUUUCCUGAAAACACUGCCACUAAACUUAAAAACUUAAAUGUCAAAAUAUUUUUAUUCAUAUUGAAGGAAAAAAUUUGUUGUGUUUCAUGUGUAAGAUACCAAACCUAAGGUAUCGAUUUCCGCAGAUACAAAAAUGUACCAAGUUGAAUGAUGAAAACAAAAGUAUUUGUAAGCAUGCACUAUGUUCAUUGCCUCAUUGUUCACAAUAGCAAAGAUAUAGAAUCAAUUUCAGUAUUUAUCAGUGGAUGAAUAGAUGAAGAAAUAUGACAAAUAUGCACUAUGAAAUACAAUUCAGUUUUUAAAAAGAAGAAAAUCCUGUCGAUUACAGCACCAUGGAUGAAUCUGGGGGACAUUACAUCAAGUGAAAUAAGUCAGAAAGAGCAUGACAAAUGGUUCAUGAUCUCACUCAUGUGUGGAAUCUAAAGUUGAACUCACAGAAGAGUAGAAUUGUGACUACCAGAGCCUGGAGGUAGUACUUGGAGAGAUGUUAGUGAAGGGAUACCAAAAAAUCAGUUAGAUAGGAGGAAUAAAUUUAAGAUAUCUAUUGUAUAAGAUGGAGAAUACAGUUAAUAACAAUGUACAGUAAGUCCCUGACUUACAAACAUUCAAGUUGCAAACUUUCACAGAUAUGAAUGGACCUCACAUUUUGAACAUUCAUAGAUAUGAACAAAUCGUGGAUGUAGCUCAUGUGUCCGCUGGACACUGUCACAAUUGUGCUGCUGUGUGCUUACUGUACAGUGCAAUAGUGGACAGUAGUACAGUGCUGAAUCAGAGCUCAGGAUGUCCAGAAGCAAAAAAAAAAAAAAAACAGUAGUGGUGAUGUGGAGGGGACUGCUAGGAAGGACAAAGCAAUAUACAUAGUACUGCAUAGAGGUGUAUAAGACUCCUGUUGUCUGACUCACAAACAAAUCUUAUGAACAUUCACCCGGAAUGGAGCUUGUUGGUAUGUUGGAGAUUUAACUGUAAUAUAAUCUUGAAAAUACAGUGGUACCUCAGUUCACAAACUUAAUUUGUUCCAUGAUUCUGGAAAAGAUAGCCACAUUCUUGUUAGUACAGGAAACAUGGCCACGGUUGUGUUUGUGCCUGAAAGAUGUGUGGUCAUGUUCAUCACCUGAUGUACAGUUCACAAACAAAAACAAAAAUUUGCGAAAUUGUUCCCAAACAAAAGCAUGUGUGAACCAAGGUACCACUAUAGAUUAUAAGUGUUCUCACCACAUGAACUUAUAAGCAUGAGAGAUGAUGCACAUGGUAAACAGCAAAAUCUAGCUAUUCCGUAAUGUAUAUAUAUUACAAAUAUUAGUUGUAUCUAUUUAUCAUGCUGUAUAAUAAAUAUAUACAAUUGUAAUUUGUUAAUUAAAAUAAAAAUUUUAAAGUAUUUAUAAAUAAUAAAUUUUGAAAAUAAAUAAAUGUGAUGUAAUACAAGG
RNAcentral lists this long non-coding RNA (4396 nucleotides) under Heterocephalus glaber (naked mole-rat). Its description in RNAcentral is "lncRNA (ENSHGLG00100040515.1)". The record is from RNAcentral. Lineage: Eukaryota; Metazoa; Chordata; Mammalia; Rodentia; Bathyergidae.